AAACGUCACAUACGUUUUCCACGAAUGUCGAUGUCGUGUUUGCGUCAAACCGAAAUUAAACUUCUUGUCGGGCGGAACACAAGUUUGACUGUUUUUUUGAAAGAAAGACACAACGAGGUCUAGUGUUUAUUUGUUUGCUCAAAGCAAUAAAUAACACAAAACAAAUUCCAUAU
Molecule: long non-coding RNA, 173 nt
Organism: Musca vetustissima
Lineage: Eukaryota; Metazoa; Arthropoda; Insecta; Diptera; Muscidae
Exons: 2
Source: RefSeq, a predicted model, not a curated record